GUUAAACGGCCGCGGUAUUUUGACCGUGCAAAGGUAGCGCAAUCACUUGUCUUUUAAAUGAAGACCUGUAUGAACGGUGGAACGAGGGCUUAACUGUCUCCCCCUUCAAGUCAAUGAAAUUGAUCUCCCCGUGCAGAAGCGGGCAUAACAAUACAAGACGAGAAGACCCUUUGGAGCUUGAGAUGUAAGACCAACUAUGUCAAGAAGCCCUAAAAGGAUUAAACUAAAUAGUAACUGGUCCUCAUCUUCGGUUGGGGCGACCACGGGAGAUAACAAAGCUCCCACGCGGACUGGGGAAACCCCAAAACUAAGAGAGACAUCUCUAAGUCGCAGAAUAUCUGACCAAAAAGAUCCGGCUUCCUGCCGAUCAACGGACCAAGUUACCCUAGGGAUAACAGCGCAAUCCCCUUCCAGAGUUCAUAUCGACAAGGGGGUUUACGACCUCGAUGUUGGAUCAGGACAUCCUAAUGGUGCAGC
RNAcentral lists this ribosomal RNA (477 nucleotides) under Trichomycterus areolatus. RNAcentral describes it as "partial 16S ribosomal RNA". It matches the Rfam family "Bacterial large subunit ribosomal RNA", at positions 1922 to 2559 of the family's 2925-position model. The record is from RNAcentral. Lineage: Eukaryota; Metazoa; Chordata; Actinopteri; Siluriformes; Trichomycteridae.